GGAGAUAUGGCUCAGUGGUUAAGAGCACUGACUACUCUUCAGGAGAUCCUGAGUUCAAUUCCCAGCAUCUACA
Molecule: transfer RNA, 73 nt
Filed under: Mus musculus (house mouse)
Lineage: Eukaryota; Metazoa; Chordata; Mammalia; Rodentia; Muridae
Rfam family: tRNA
About the family: Transfer RNA (tRNA) molecules are approximately 80 nucleotides in length. Their secondary structure includes four short double-helical elements and three loops (D, anti-codon, and T loops).
Source: Rfam by way of RNAcentral